GAACGGUAGCACAGAGGAGCUUGCUCCUUGGGUGACGAGUGGCGGACGGGUGAGGAAUAUAUCGGAAUCUACCCAAUCGUGGGGGAUAACGUAGGGAAACUUACGCUAAUACCGCAUACGAUCUGAGGAUGAAAGCGGCGGACCGCAAGGCGUCGCGCGAUUGGAUGAGCCGAUAUCCGAUUAGCUAGUUGGUAAGGUAAAGGCUUACCAAGGCGACGAUCGGUAGCUGGUCUGAGAGGAUGAUCAGCCACACUGGAACUGAGACACGGUCCAGACUCCUACGGGAGGCAGCAGUGGGGAAUAUUGGACAAUGGGCGCAAGCCUGAUCCAGCCAUGCCGCAUGUGUGAAGAAGGCCUUCGGGUUGUAAAGCACUUUUGUUGGGAAAGAAAAGCAGCCGGUUAAUACCCGGUUGUUCUGACGGUACCCAAAGAAUAAGCACCGGCUAACUUCGUGCCAGCAGCCGCGGUAAUACGAAGGGUGCAAGCGUUACUCGGAAUUACUGGGCGUAAAGCGUGCGUAGGUGGUUUGUUAAGUCAGAUGUGAAAGCCCCGGGCUCAACCUGGGAAUUGCAUUUGAUACUGGCUGACUAGAGUGAGGUAGAGGAGAGUGGCAUUCCCGGUGUAGCAGUGAAUGCGUAGAGAUCGGGAGGAACAUCAGUUGCGAGCGCUCUUCUGGACAUCACUGACACUGAGCACGAAGCGGUGGGGGAGCAAACAGAUAGAUACCCUGUAGUCCACGCCCUAACGAUGCGGACUGGACGUGGGAUCAUGGAAAUCAUGUCAGGCUACGCGUAAGUUCGCCGCCUG
RNAcentral lists this ribosomal RNA (807 nucleotides) under uncultured bacterium. Its description in RNAcentral is "bacterial SSU rRNA". It matches the Rfam family "Bacterial small subunit ribosomal RNA", at positions 64 to 875 of the family's 1533-position model. The record is from RNAcentral.